RNAcentral lists this ribosomal RNA (559 nucleotides) under uncultured bacterium. Its description in RNAcentral is "bacterial SSU rRNA". It matches the Rfam family "Bacterial small subunit ribosomal RNA", at positions 252 to 809 of the family's 1533-position model. The record is from RNAcentral.
GCGGGGUAACGGCCCACCGAGGCGACGAUGCGUAGGGGUUCUGAGAGGAAGGUCCCCCACACUGGUACUGAGACACGGACCAGACUCCUACGGGAGGCAGCAGUGAGGAAUAUUGGUCAAUGGCCGGGAGGCUGAACCAGCCAAGUCGCGUGAGGGAAGACGGCCCUACGGGUUGUAAACCUCUUUUGUCAGGGAGCAAGAGGCGGGUCGAGACCUGCUGUGAGAGUACCUGAAGAAAAAGCAUCGGCUAACUCCGUGCCAGCAGCCGCGGUAAUACGGAGGAUGCGAGCGUUAUCCGGAUUUAUUGGGUUUAAAGGGUGCGCAGGCGGAGGCACAAGUCAGCGGUAAAAUCGCGGGGCUCAACCGGGCUCCGCCGUUGAAACUGUGUCCCUUGAGUGCGCGAAGGGUAGGCGGAAUGCGUGGUGUAGCGGUGAAAUGCAUAGAUAUCACGCAGAACUCCGAUCGCGAAGGCAGCCUACCGGCGCGCAACUGACGCUCAUGCACGAAAGCGUGGGUAUCGAACAGGAUUAGAUACCCUGGUAGUCCACGCAGUAAACGA